GACGAACGCUGGCGGCGUGCCUAAUACGUGCAAGUCGAGCGAAGUUUUUCUGGUGCUUGCACUAGAAAAACUUAGCGGCGAACGGGUGAGUAACACGUAAAGAACCUGCCUCAUAGACUGGGACAACUAUUGGAAACGAUAGCUAAUACCGGAUAACAGUAUUUCUCGCAUGAGAGAUAUUUAAAAGUUGGUUAUGCUAACACUAUGAGAUGGCUUUGCGGUGCAUUAGCUAGUUGGUGGGGUAAAGGCCCACCAAGGCGACGAUGCAUAGCCGACCUGAGAGGGUGAUCGGCCACACUGGGACUGAGACACGGCCCAGACUCCUACGGGAGGCAGCAGUAGGGAAUCUUCCGCAAUGGGCGAAAGCCUGACGGAGCAACGCCGCGUGAGUGAAGAAGGAUUUCGGUUCGUAAAGCUCUGUUGUUAGGGAAGAAUGGAUAUGUAGUAACUAUACAUGUAAGAGACGGUACCUAACCAGAAAGCCACGGCUAACUACGUG
RNAcentral lists this ribosomal RNA (499 nucleotides) under uncultured bacterium. RNAcentral describes it as "partial 16S ribosomal RNA". It matches the Rfam family "Bacterial small subunit ribosomal RNA", at positions 28 to 507 of the family's 1533-position model. The record is from RNAcentral.